Molecule: ribosomal RNA, 227 nt
Filed under: uncultured bacterium
Lineage: Bacteria
Description: partial 16S ribosomal RNA
Rfam family: Bacterial small subunit ribosomal RNA
Source: RNAcentral
GAUCCUGGCUCAGGAUGAACGCUAGCUACAGGCUUAACACAUGCAAGUCGAGGGCAGCAUGGUCUUAGUCUUGCUUAAGGCCGAUGGCGACCGGCGCACGGGUGAGUAACACGGUAUCCAACCUGCCGUCUACUCUUGGACAGCCUUCUGAAAGGAAGAUUAAUACAAGAUGGCAUCAUGAGUCCGCAUGUUCACAUGAUUAAAGGUAUUCCGGUAGACGAUGGGGA